GAGAAGGAGUCAGCUCCCAGCUCCGAGACUUCAGGCGAGGGUUUUGGAGCUCACCAUCUCGCUAGGAGGUGGCAGCCCAGGUGGCCACAGGCAUUUGCCUUUGUUCUCCAGAGCUAAGGGUUGGGCAUAAACCUCUGAAGCUCUGAACAGGGGUGGAGAGGGGUAGAGGAUUGGAGAUGGCAUUUCUGGAGUAGAAGAGGGUUUCCCCUCUAGACCCCAAACAGGGUCUUGGCCCAGACCUGCCCUGUGUUCAAGGGCCGCAACUCAGCCGAAGGGGUAGAAUGUCUCUCCCCAUGCUACCCCCGGGAGCCUCAACACAGUGAGAGCCAAGAGCCCAACUCCUGCGCCUGCGUCCAAGGCCCGGCACAAUCCAGCUGCAACCUGGCUUCCCGCGUGCCUGGGCCUCCCCUCCGUGGACAGCCCCCACCCCGUCCAUCGACUGUCCCAUAGAUGCUGUGUGUGGCCCCACCUCCAAGCCUAAGCAGCCACCCCUCCUCCACCUGAAAUACCGUCAAGAAGCCUCACUUCUUCAGAAAAGCCUUUCCUGAAACAUGCUGGGACAGUGGGGUGGGGGCUGGUUCUGAGACCCAGAAGCCCAUCUGGGAAAUCCCCCGGGGUUUGUGGAUUCCCCGGAAAGGAGCCUGUCCUAGACCAUGGGCUCUGUGCCCCGUGGUUGCUGAAGGAGCAAGUGAGGGAUGAAUGCACUCACCUCUAAGUUCCCACUCCACUCACAGAGCUCAGAGCUACCUUUUAUUUUAACGGUCUUUGUAUGAAUCUAUAACAAGAUAUUAAACCUGAAGUUUCCAAGAAGGCAUGUCGUUGCUGCACACCAAACCAAACCACAUGCAGAAUUUACAAAGGAAAUGGCCCCAAGAAAGGUCCUCCGAAGAGGGGUGGUUAGAGGUGGCAUGAAGACAAUGCUUGUGAGGAGGCUAAUUUUGGAGAAAGCUGCGUGGUGAGCUCCGUUCGCUUCCCACCCCAGGGGAGGGCUGGCUGCCUGACCCCUCACCUGCAGCCUAGUGUGGGCUUUCAGCCGCCCUUGGAGAGCUUCAGCCACCCCUGCAGUUGUGGAGCAUAGCAGUCUGGGUGUGACUCCUGCCCAGGAAACCAAGCAGGUGACAGACGGGCUGACUGUUGGAGGCUGAGACACCAGGGUGCUAGACGAGCCAGAAACCCCAGAGACUAGUGGGGCAAUGGACACUGCCAUUUUGGAUCAAACUUACCUAGAGGUGUAGCUGAGGGAACACUGGAUUCAUCCUCAAGAAACCCAGAUUUCAGUCUUAACCGGAGCAAAGCAUGGCUUGCCACGCGGUGCCACAUCCACACCCAGGAUCCCAACCAGCAAACCCUGGGCCACCGAAGCAGAACGUGCACACGUAACCGCUGUACCACCGGGCCAGCCGCUGGACCACUUCUCAUCAGUACCUGGGCAAAACCACAGCGAACAAGCCCCUCAACUUUGUGAAUAGCAGGAGGCCAGUGAGGACAGGGGAUAUGUUGAGAGACACACUCAGGAUCCCCGAACAUCCUAACCUGCUGGAGCAACAGCCUGGACCUCACGAGGUAAAACAGACAGGGCUUAACGGAGCCAUCCGGGCUUGGCUCCAAGGUACCGACAGUACAAGGACAGGGUGGGGAGGUGGCGGCUUAGCAGAAGCAUGUGUGAAUCAAACUGAGGGUUUUCACUGACAGCCAGCUCCACGUGAGGCAAAUGAAAAGACUGCCAAAAAAAUGGACAGACUCUUAGGUGGCUGAAUUGAAGUUGAGUACUGAGCCCAGUGAUUCUCCAUCUUGAUAUCAGUCAGAAUUGCCUGGGAAGGUGUGGUAACACUGCGUAUUCCUUGCUGCACUCAGAUCCUCUGAAUCAGGACCUGGGAUGGGUGGGUGAGGAAAAGGGAAGGAAGGUGAGGAGUAUGGAAUUCCAAGGAGCUUCACUCUUGGUUCCAAUGUGCAGCCAAGGACCUAGAACCAAGGAAGACAGUCGCGUCCUCAUUCUUGACAUGUCAGACCAUGCCUAAUGUAUUCAGGGCCUUCGAUUUAGGGUGUUUUACCCUGAGGAAAUGCACACACUGGAGGAGAUUUGGUUGGGGGGCCAGGAUGGAGGAUGCACGUAACACUGUGAGGACUGGUGGAGGGAACCAAGCCAUAGAAGACACAGGUGGCCAGGAGGCCCACCUUCAGAGGUGUGAGACUUGUUCUCUGGGGUCCCAAAUUUAGAGUCUGAGGUGACAAGUGACUGCCUUAGGUCAGGUUUCUCAUGAAAUAUUAUGAGACAGAGAUUGCUGGCAGGAAGUUUAUUGGGAGGUCCUCUCAGAAACAACAUGACACAUCUGAGGGAGUGAAGGAACCAGGAUUGAGUGGAGGAAGAAAUUGAUCAACACUGCAGGCACAACUAAGGACGCCUCCACUGGGAGUUCUGAGGUUGGGAUGACCCUUCAGAUCUGGCCCCAACUGAGGCAAGAGGGCUGGAGAUUUGAACCCCCACGUUGACCAGGCAGAUGAUCCCUAGGGAGGGGUCAUGAAAUCGAGCAAGGCAGCUGCCUUUGGCAGCUGAAGGAAAUGCCCAGGGAGAGACUCAGCUGUGAGCCAUCAGCAGCCAACAGUCCUGGCAACUUAAGCAUAAGCUUAGUGGUCUCAAAGGCAGGAUCUGGGUGGUGCACCAUAGCAACCACAACAGUACCCCUUUUGCAAGGCUCAGACCUACUUGCUUCAUAUGGUACGCUCACUCUACCUGGGAAGAGCUCCUCCAGAAUUCUGGCGAUGUCUUUCUCUGGGAAACUUACAGGAAGGUAGAUAGGAUGAAAUAUAGCCCCCACUACUAUAGCGCGUCUUGGUGUCACAACUGAUAUUCAGCAUUGCCCCCAGCCCAUUACCCAUUCAGAUCCUCUUUCCUGAGGGGUCUGAGCUCCUAAUGACCAUGCCCUUCUCAAACCAUGCUGUUGAAUUUGUUCACUUACUAUCAAAAUGGGGCAAAUGAAUACCAAGAGACACCCUAGUGGGUCACCUGCAUGCCAGACAUAUUCUUUCCUGACCCCAUUAUGUAGUCACAGCCCCAUCUCCUCCAAAGGAUCAAGAUCAAGUACUCCUGCCAGGAAGUGACUCCUUUUUUUGCCUGCUGAUCUCUUGGCACAAGGAGUCUGAAGGACAGAAAGCAGCCACACUUAAGUUUAUGGGAUUCUUGUUCUGUUCUCUGGCAGAAGUGUUCUGCCUCUGGGACCAGAUUCUCUAAUCCCAGAGAGCCUGGAACCGUAAGAACAGGAACUGCAAAUUCCCCCAAAAGGGUCACCAGGAGUGAUGGUAAGUGGGGUUACUCCUUCUUCAACCCCUUGCUUCCUAGACCUCUGUUUUCUACCUGUUGGGCCAGAGCACCAUAUUAUAGCUGUUGAAUAGGGUGCGUUCUUCAUCCCGGAGCGUGGUGUCCCAUCAUCCCUAAAAUGGUGCUUCAGCUGCACCUUGGAAAGGCUGUUCUUUCACUCUAUCAGCUCUAUUCACCAGGGGACAGCAAAGUAUAUGAUAGGCCCCCAAGACUCCGUGAUCAUUUGCCUACUCUUUUGCUAUAAAGUGGGACUCUUGGUUUGAUGUGAUGUUGUAUGAGAUCCCAUGUCAAUGAAUCAAAUUCUUUAAGUCCUCAGAGAGUGGUGCUGGUUGAGGCCUUUAGUGGGAAAGAGAAAUCCAAAUCCAGAAUAUAUGCUGAUUCAAGUCAAGAUGAGUCACCAACCCUUCCGAGUAGAACAGGUCUAAUGUAGUCAACUCAUUACCAAGUGGCUGCUUGGCCAUUGGUUGGUGGCAGAUUGGAGAUCUGGCAGCAACAACAGAUCAGCCUUGGUGUGGGAGCCCAUUCUGUUGGACCCACCCCUGCCACCGUAUACAAUAUGCCUGUAAGUCACCUCCAUCUAUGCCAACAUGGCCACUUUAUUCAUAUGGCCAUUGUGCCAGCACAAGUGGUCAAUGACAGAGGCUGGCUAAUAUCAGCUAGCCAAGUCACUCUAUCUACUUGGUUAUUUAGUGUCUCCUCCAUGGUGGAUGCUCUCUGGUGGGCAUUAACGUGUAAUAUAUAGACCACACUUUGUGCCCACUCCCAUAGAUACAUCCACGUGCCUCUUCCCAAGACCUUCUUGUUCCCAAUCUUCCAAUGUUUCUCUUUCAAGGCCUCUAACCAACUAAUCAAGCCAUUUGCUACAGCCCAUGAGCCUGUAUGUAUUUUUACUUAGGGCCACUCUAUUGGGGGGCCAUGAUGAUGAUUCAGGUCUCCAGAUAUCAAUAUCAACCCAAACACUCCAUGACUUUAAAAUGUUUGGUUAUUCUACUUUCCGCAGUGUUCAGUGACCCAAGUAAAUGGUCACAUGACCCUUUGGGGAAGGAGUAUGGAAAUCAUUAUGGUAUUGCCAUAGUAUUACAGAAGACUUCCUCCUGGGGACCCGACCUCUCCUUCAGUCAACAACAGUUCUGGGCCCAAAAAUUGAACUGGGUCUGGAAACUGGACAAAACAUUAUAAUUGUUUAUUGGAGCAACUGCCGUUAACCUCCUGGUCUUUCAUUCUUGAUUUCUUUUCAUUGUACAGCUCAGCAAUUCUGUGUGUGAUCUGCAGAUCUCCAGGGAUUCCUGAGACCAUUUCAGGGGUUGUGCAAGUUCAAAAUAUUAGCAUAAUAAUACUAAGAUGUUAUUUGUUUUUUUAACUGUGUUGACAUUUGCACUGGUGGUGCAAAAUCGAUGGUGGAUAAAUCUUCUAGCACCUUAACAAACCAAGGCAGUGGCACCUACCUGCUCUGGUAGUUCAUUGUGACAGAAAGAAACAAGGAAGAGAAGGAAGGAAGGAGGGAGAUGAGGAAGGAAGGAAGGAAGAAAAAAAAGAAAAGAGUCAGUUCUGUUUAAGAAUGUCCUUAACAGAGCAAUAAAAAUUGUUAAAUUUUAUUAAAUCAUGACCCUUAAUUAAAUGUCUUUUUAAUAUUGUCUGUGAUUAAAUGGAAAGUACUGUACUGUUCACAGAAGUAUAAUGGCUCUCAAGGAAAAGCACUAGUGCAAUUGAGUUACAAGGUAAACUAGUCACUUUUUUCAUGACACAUCGUUUUCAUUUGAAAGAAUAACUGACAGAUAAACUAUGGUUAUUCAGACUUGGUUAUCUGGCACACGUUUUCUCAAAUUCAAACCAAGUAAGCCUGUCAUUUUGAGGAAAACAAUUGAUAGUAUUUAUUGCCGAUGAUAAAAUUUGAGCUUUUAAGCGAAAAAAAAAAGGGGGGGUGGUGGCUGGCCCCGUGGCCGGGUGGUUAAG
Equus caballus (horse) is the source of this 5269-nucleotide non-coding RNA. Lineage: Eukaryota; Metazoa; Chordata; Mammalia; Perissodactyla; Equidae. The record is from RefSeq and is a predicted model, not a curated record.